Molecule: long non-coding RNA, 932 nt
Filed under: Capsicum annuum
Lineage: Eukaryota; Viridiplantae; Streptophyta; Magnoliopsida; Solanales; Solanaceae
Description: long non-coding RNA (CANN_LNC002525)
Source: RNAcentral
UGGAUUCUUCUUUUUUAGAGGCAGCACCAGGCGCCUUCGUAGCAACAACCUUAGAGGCAACUACCUUAGAGGGAGGUUUCUGUCAAAAAGACAAUCAAUCAUCAAGUCAGGUGUCAAAGGACCAUAUUUGCAUAUAUCACGCAACAUAAAGCAAAUGGUGGUGUUACAUCAUCAUCUGAACUAGAGUCAGUUGACGAAGAAUCAUCAUCGCUGGAUUCUUCUUUUUUAGAGGCAGCAACAGGCGCCUUCUUAACAACAGGCGCCUUCUUAACAACAGGCGCCUUCUGAACAACAGCAUCAUCCUCAGAGCUGCUAUCAUCCUCAUCACUUGACUCAUCUUUCUUAGAGCCAUUAGUUGGAGGUUUCUUGGGUGCAGGUUCAUCUUCCUCAGAGCUGCUAUCAUCCGACUCAUCACUUGACUCAUCUUUCUUCUUAGCAGCAACACCAUUCUUGGUUGAAACCACAACAACCUUCUUAGAAGGAGCCUAUACACCACCCCAACACCAACAAUUGAUUAGAAAACUAGCCAAAAAUAUACACAGUAGCUCCUGUUGAAGUUAAAGUAAUUACGUACUUCAUCCUCAGAAUCUGAAGAAUCUGUAGAAUCAGAAUCGUCAGAACUGCUGGCUAAUUUUCCAUUUUUGGCAGGAGCCACUUUCUUAGGAGGUACCACUGCUUUUGCAGGCUGCAUAACAAAUUAAGAAUAAUUCACAUCUUAGGAGUCAGUUAUUCAAUACAAAUUACAAAUCAAAAUUGAUGAAAGGAGUUCGGUGCAGGCAUGUAUUACCUUUUCAUCUUCAGAAUCAGAGGAACUAUCGUCAGAGGAACUGCUUUCUUGUUUCUUCUUCUUCUUCUGAGUCUUUGCAUCACUCUUGUUUUUCUCAACAGCUUGUGCUACAGCCACAUCUUUCUUCUGCUUCUUUGCACUCACU